Molecule: non-coding RNA, 167 nt
Filed under: uncultured Eubacterium sp.
Lineage: Bacteria; Bacillati; Bacillota; Clostridia; Eubacteriales; Eubacteriaceae
Description: Lysine riboswitch
Rfam family: Lysine riboswitch aptamer
About the family: Riboswitches are metabolite binding domains within certain messenger RNAs that serve as precision sensors for their corresponding targets. Allosteric rearrangement of mRNA structure is mediated by ligand binding, and this results in modulation of gene expression.
Source: RNAcentral
UUAAGUAGAGGCGCGACAGACAUGAGUAUCACAUGCUGAGGCACUGACAGCCAAACCAGGGUGUGAGAAAGGGGAUGCCGCCGAAGCAAAACGGACCGUCAGACCGUUUCUGCUGGGUCUGCAGUGAAGAACUGCAGGACUGUCACCGCAAGGUGGAGUGCUACUUC